AGAGUUUGAUCAUGGCUCAGAUUGAACGCUGGCGGCAUGCCUUACACAUGCAAGUCGAACGGUAACGGGCCUUCGGGUGCCGACGAGUGGCGAACGGGUGAGUAAUGCAUCGGAACGUACCUUUCAGUGGGGAUAACGUAGCGAAAGUUACGCUAAUACCGCAUAUUCUGUGAGCAGGAAAGCAGGGGAUCGCAAAGACCUUGUGCUGAUUGAGCGGCCGAUGUCAGAUUAGCUAGUUGGUGAGGUAAAGGCUCACCAAGGCGACGAUCUGUAGCGGGUCUGAGAGGAUGAUCCGCCACACUGGAACUGAGACACGGUCCAGACUCCUACGGGAGGCAGCAGUGGGGAAUUUUGGACAAUGGGGGCAACCCUGAUCCAGCCAUGCCGCGUGAGUGAAGAAGGCCUUCGGGUUGUAAAGCUCUUUCGGCCGGGAAGAAAUCGCAUGGGUUAAUACCCUGUGCGGAUGACGGUACCGGCAUAAGAAGCACCGGCUAACUACGUG
RNAcentral lists this ribosomal RNA (502 nucleotides) under uncultured bacterium. RNAcentral's name for it is "bacterial SSU rRNA". It matches the Rfam family "Bacterial small subunit ribosomal RNA", at positions 8 to 507 of the family's 1533-position model. The record is from RNAcentral.